GAUGAACGCUGGCGGCGUGCCUAAUACAUGCAAGUCGAGCGAACAGACGAGGAGCUUGCUCCUCUGACGUUAGCGGCGGACGGGUGAGUAACACGUGGAUAACCCACCUAUAAGACUGGGAUAACUUCGGGAAACCGGUGCUAAUACCGGAUAAUAUAUUCAACCGCAUGGUUCAAUAGUGAAAGACGGUUUUGCUGUCACUUAUAGAUGGACCCGCGCCGCAUUAGCUAGUGGGUAAGGUAACGGCUUACCAAGGCAACGAUGCGUAGCCGACCUGAGAGGGUGAUCGGCCACACUGGAACUGAGACACGGUCCAGACUCCUACGGGAGGCAGCAGUGGGGAAUCUUCCGCAAUGGGCGAAAGCCUGACGGAGCAACGCCGCGUGAGUGAUGAAGGUCUUCGGAUCGUAAAACUCUGUUAUUAGGGAAGAACAAAUGUGUAAGUAACCAUGCACGUCUUGACGGUACCUAAUGAGAAAGCCACGGCUAACUACGU
RNAcentral lists this ribosomal RNA (496 nucleotides) under uncultured bacterium. RNAcentral describes it as "partial 16S ribosomal RNA". It matches the Rfam family "Bacterial small subunit ribosomal RNA", at positions 28 to 506 of the family's 1533-position model. The record is from RNAcentral.